UUAUCUACUUAUAGUAUUUAUAUAUUGUUAGUAAAUGACAGCAUGGGAGAAAAUGGUUAAAACAUUAAAUCAAUCCAAAUCAGCUGAUACCAUCGUCUGCUCUAAUGUGUCGGUUAUGACAGUCGGACUUACCUUUAGUUCUCUGCAAUACAAAGUCGCCCUCUUUUUCCCUUAAUUCUGUAUUUUCGUCUGUAGAUGCACAUGUUCUAGCCGCCAUUCUAACACUAAAACUAACAUGGAGAGCAGAAAUGGGAAAAUGAUAUUGGGCUGUGUAUGGUUUACCAGACAGGUCUGGAAUUGUUGCCAGAAUCGCACUAUCACAGAUUUUCUAAUAUAUUACCAGCAAGCCGUUUAGGCACAGGAAUAUUCUUACUUGCUAGUAGACUGGCCACACUGACACGGCACUGCGCCUGCCUGUACUGGCCAGGACCUCUCUUCAUGGCUGAAGGCACCUGACUGACCUCUGGUACCCAUGACAAGAUUCAGUCUGAGUUAUCACGCAUUGACAUUGAAGAAAGCUAUUGUGGAGGAAGUGGAAAAUCACCGUCUGAUUGAGUGUCAGAGGCUUUUAGUUUACGCUCAGUGUUUGUCUUGACUUUCGAUGGCGAAGUGAACACAAACGGCUUCCAGAGAAACUCUCUGACAAUCAGAGCCACCAUUUUCCACUGCCUUAUUACAAGUGUUGGACAUAUUUUUGCCCUCUUUUUGCAAACGU
Penaeus monodon (black tiger shrimp) is the source of this 715-nucleotide long non-coding RNA. RefSeq lists it as uncharacterized. The transcript has 3 exons. Lineage: Eukaryota; Metazoa; Arthropoda; Malacostraca; Decapoda; Penaeidae. The record is from RefSeq and is a predicted model, not a curated record.